This 76-nucleotide transfer RNA is filed under the name Alphaproteobacteria bacterium. RNAcentral's name for it is "tRNA-Trp". It matches the Rfam family "tRNA". Rfam says of the family: Transfer RNA (tRNA) molecules are approximately 80 nucleotides in length. Their secondary structure includes four short double-helical elements and three loops (D, anti-codon, and T loops). Further hydrogen bonds mediate the characteristic L-shaped molecular structure. tRNAs have two regions of fundamental functional importance: the anti-codon, which is responsible for specific mRNA codon recognition, and the 3' end, to which the tRNAs corresponding amino acid is attached (by aminoacyl-tRNA synthetases). tRNAs cope with the degeneracy of the genetic code in two manners: having more than one tRNA (with a specific anti-codon) for a particular amino acid; and 'wobble' base-pairing, i.e. permitting non-standard base-pairing at the 3rd anti-codon position. Lineage: Bacteria; Pseudomonadati; Pseudomonadota; Alphaproteobacteria. RNAcentral also lists the same sequence under 2 other names. The record is from RNAcentral.
AGGAGUGUAGCUCAAUUGGCAGAGCGUCGGUCUCCAAAACCGAAGGUUGUGGGUUCGAUUCCCUCCACUCCUGCCA